AACGAACGCUGGCGGCAUGCCUAACACAUGCAAGUCGAACGAGAUCUUCGGGUCUAGUGGCGCACGGGUGCGUAACGCGUGGGAAUCUGCCCUUUGGUUCGGAAUCAAAGUUGGAAACGACUGCUAAUACCGGAUGAUGACGAAAGUCCAAAGAUUUAUCGCCAGAGGAUGAGCCCGCGUAGGAUUAGCUAGUUGGUGUGGUAAAGGCGCACCAAGGCGACGAUCCUUAGCUGGUCUGAGAGGAUGAUCAGCCACACUGGGACUGAGACACGGCCCAGACUCCUACAGGAGGCAGCAGUGGAGAAUAUUGGACAAUGGGCGAAAGCCUGAUCCAGCAAUGCCGCGUGAAUGAUGAAGGCCUUAGGGUUGUAAAGCUCUUUUACCCGGGAUGAUAAUGACAGUACCGGGAGAAUAAGCUCCGGCUAACUCCGUGCCAGCCGCCGCCGUAA
RNAcentral lists this ribosomal RNA (449 nucleotides) under uncultured bacterium. Its description in RNAcentral is "partial 16S ribosomal RNA". It matches the Rfam family "Bacterial small subunit ribosomal RNA", at positions 29 to 523 of the family's 1533-position model. The record is from RNAcentral.